Homo sapiens (human) is the source of this 862-nucleotide long non-coding RNA. The record is from Ensembl. NCBI's taxonomy places the organism in Eukaryota, Metazoa, Chordata, Mammalia, Primates, Hominidae.
UAGAAGAGGAAGACACCAGAGCUGUCCCUCUCUCGGCUUGCACUAAGGAGGAGGUCACGUGAGCACACAGUGAGAAGGCGGAGGACCAUCUGCAAGCAGGAAGAGAGCCCUCGCUAGAACCCCCCACGGUGGCAUCUGAUAGUGGACUUCUAGCUUCCAGAACUGAACUCAUAAAUGUCACAUCAGGCUGCCUCUUGGUGAAUUUUUAAUCAACGGGGAGAAUUUCAGCUACAAAUAGACCAAGAAUCAAGAGGCCCACUAUUGAUCGGUCAAAGUGGCACUUAUGAACCUGAGGUUGAAGCAGUUUGGAUAAAAGGAUUCUGGGCUUUCGAUGGCCCCAGAGACAUCUUUUUCCAUCAAGUCCAGUAAGAUCACUCCGGCUAUUACAUGGAGGGUGGACUGAAGGAACAAGGACAGGGAACAGGAAUGGCAGUAAAGAAACCAGGAGACUAUUGAGAUGAUCCUGACAAGAAAUGGCAACUUGGACUACGGCAGUGGCAAUAGAGUUCAUCCCUUUCCCCACAUCUCAGCAUCAUAUAGCAAGAGUUGCAUGGGGCCUCAUGGCCCAGUGGGGCCCAGGCUCGAACAAAUUUGCGGAGAAGUUUUGCAGCCUGCUGCCACCUCUGGGCUCUGCUGCUGCACAAACAGGGACUAUUCGUGGAAGCUGUUUGGCUCAUCACUGAACCUAAGUGUCUGGGGAGCUUCAGGGCCUCAGUGGCCUAAGGCUUCAUGAGCCCUUCUGCUUAGAGAGUUAAUGCCUGAGACUAAAAUCUGGGGUAACGGGACAGAUUUCUGCUCAGCAGCAAAAGCUGCCCCAGCCUUCCUUAUAAAAUGGAGACUGCAAAUAAAGUUCAUUGUUUCC